AGUCUCCUGGUUGAGCUCAGACCCAUGUUGUUGGCUGUCCUGUCUUCUGCUGCCCUGGAUUCUAGACCUGGCUGGUCACCUCACCUUGGCUGAGGAUGACCAGGCUCUCAGGGAUGCCUCUUGCUAUCCCCAACCUGCCCUGGCUGGGAUGCUGCUGGAUACAUCAGCAUUUGAAACCAAGAACUGUAAUAAUUUGCCAUGAAAGAGAGAACUAAACAGCCACAAGGUUUCCAGAUUUAAUAAUGUGCUGUGAAAAUACACUGAGUACUACUCCCUCCCACAUUCUCAGCCUUGUCAGUUAAAGGCAGCAGCAGGCGUCGGUGCUGCCGUGGCGGGAGGGUGCAUUGGCCCAUCGCUCGGUCCUCAAUCUGCAUUUAUGGCACGAGGUUAUUCUGC
Gymnogyps californianus (California condor) is the source of this 396-nucleotide long non-coding RNA. RefSeq lists it as uncharacterized. The transcript is spliced from 3 exons. NCBI's taxonomy places the organism in Eukaryota, Metazoa, Chordata, Aves, Accipitriformes, Cathartidae. The record is from RefSeq and is a predicted model, not a curated record.